This 254-nucleotide ribosomal RNA is filed under the name uncultured bacterium. RNAcentral's name for it is "partial 16S ribosomal RNA". It matches the Rfam family "Bacterial small subunit ribosomal RNA", at positions 524 to 776 of the family's 1533-position model. The record is from RNAcentral.
UACGUAGGGGCCUAGCGUUGUCCGGAUUUAUUGGGCGUAAAGAGCUCGUAGGCGGUUUGGUGAGUCGGGUGUGAAAUCUCCACGCUCAACGUGGAGGGGCCACCCGAUACUGCCAUGACUAGAGUCCGGUAGGGGAGUGUGGAAUUCCCGGUGUAGCGGUGAAAUGCGCAGAUAUCGGGAGGAACACCAGUAGCGAAGGCGGCUUUCUGGCCCGUUCUUGACGCUGAGGCGCGAAAGCUAGGGUAGCAAACGGG